Molecule: ribosomal RNA, 506 nt
Filed under: uncultured Glomeromycotina
Lineage: Eukaryota; Fungi; Glomeromycota
Description: SSU rRNA
Rfam family: Eukaryotic small subunit ribosomal RNA
Source: RNAcentral
AGCAGCCGCGGUAAUUCCAGCUCCAAUAGCGUAUAUUAAAGUUGUUGCAGUUAAAAAGCUCGUAGUUGAAUUUCGGGAUCGAAUUGUUGGUCGUGCUUCGGUACGUACUGGCAUUAUUGGUUCCUACCUUCUGAAGAACCGCGAUGUCAUUAAUUUGGUGUCGUGGGGAAUCAGGACUGUUACUUUGAAAAAAUUAGAGUGUUUAAAGCAGGCGCACGCUUGAAUACAUUAGCAUGGAAUAAUGAAAUAGGACGUUUGAUUCUAUUUUGUUGGUUUCUAGGAUCGACGUAAUGAUUAAUAGGGAUAGUUGGGGGCAUUAGUAUUCAAUUGUCAGAGGUGAAAUUCUUGGAUUUAUUGAAGACUAACUACUGUGAAAGCAUUUGCCAAGGAUGUUUUCAUUAAUCAAGAACGAAAGUUAGGGGAUCGAAGACGAUCAGAUACCGUCGUAGUCUUAACCAUAAACUAUGCCGACUAGGGAUCGGAUGAUGUUAAUUUUUUAAUGACUC